This 373-nucleotide long non-coding RNA is filed under the name Homo sapiens (human). Its description in RNAcentral is "non-protein coding lnc-WWC2-6:1". The record is from RNAcentral. Lineage: Eukaryota; Metazoa; Chordata; Mammalia; Primates; Hominidae.
AAAAAAAGAAUGGCUGAUGAAAAAGUAGAGGUCAGCUGAGCGAACAAUGCCAGUGUCAUCAUGCCCCCUCAUUAGUAGGACCAUAUGUAGACAAUGUGAAAAAAUGGGGUUCUAGCCUAGGCCCACUUACAGUGGGGCUCCCUCACACUCAUUUGGUGGUCAUCAUCCUGGUUCCAGAAUCCAUGACCUGGGUGGGCACACUGAGCCACUAGCAAUAUCCCCACUUGACUCUGUGACUUGUGAAGUAAGAGGAGUAGUAUCCUACUUAUAGCAGGCGGUGGCCAAUCAGAAACAACAGCACAACAUAACAGGUGGAAUGGCAGAGAUUAAGACAAUCUUCGGAGACUUUAAAGGAUACAAGGGUGGUGGUCUU